This is an RNA transcript of Olea europaea var. sylvestris, 1993 nucleotides long. It is a transcript of the gene named bZIP transcription factor 46-like, with no coding region annotated. NCBI's taxonomy places the organism in Eukaryota, Viridiplantae, Streptophyta, Magnoliopsida, Lamiales, Oleaceae. The transcript is spliced from 6 exons. The record is from RefSeq and is a predicted model, not a curated record.
GGUCCGACAGCACUCAUUGUUUUAUUCCAUUAAAUAGCCUCUCAAGUUUCAACAACUGCUAUAGUUCGACACGGAACUCCAGAAGAGGAAAAAUUUUAAGAGAGGGGGAGGAGAAAUAGGAAAGAUCAGUUGGCUUUGGAUUAAUUUGAGACCUCGUUAUAUGGUUGGUUGAUUGAAAUGGGGAGUAAUUUAAACUUCAAGAAUUUGGGAAAUGAUUCGCUGGAAGAAGGCAUUGGUGCUGGAAGGCUGCCUAAUAGUUUUUCCUUGACGCGACAGCCAUCAGUAUACUCAUUGACAUUUGAUGAGUUUCAGAGUAACAUGGGGAGUUUUGGUAAAGUCGGAUCAAUGAACAUGGAUGAGUUGCUAAAAAACAUUUGGAGUGCAGAGGAGAAUCAAAAUAUAGGGUCCAGUAAUGGAGGCAGUGGAGGAGGGGGAGGCCAAGAAGGGGGUGGCAAUUUGCAGAGGCAGGGAUCUUUGACGCUGCCGCGUACACUGAGUCAGAAGACGGUUGAAGAGGUUUGGAAGGAUUUAUCAAAGGAGUAUGGUGUUGGGAAGGAUGGGAGUGGUAGUGUUGAUGGCUUGAGUACGAUGCCUCAGAGGGAACCAACUCUGGGCGAGAUCACACUUGAGGAUUUCUUGGUGAAAGCCGGGGUUGUGAGGGAAGAUACUCAUUUGUCUGGAAAGCCUAAUGAUAUUGGUUUUUUUGGUAACUUGGCAUUUGCCGGGAAUAAUCUUGUUCCAGGAUUUGGAUAUCAAAAUGCAGAUGGGAAUGUUGGGGUGAUGGAUAAUAGAAUUCCAGAAAAUAGUAAUGAAGUGGCGGUGAGAUCUAUUGCACAUUCACAACAGAGUCAACAGCAGCAGCAGCCUCUACAGCAACAGAAACUUCUUCCCAAGCGACCUGUUUUGCCUUCUAGGUCUCCCUUGGGUCUAUCAAAUGGUGAUCAAUUUGGUGGUACCACAAUUAGGGGAGGGAUUGGUAGCGUUUCCAAUUCGGGAAUGAAUAAUAAUUUGGUCCAAAGUGCAACACUGCAGGGUGGAGGACUGGGAAUGGUUGGUUUAGGACCUGGGGUAGGAGGAGUUGCAACGGGAUCUCCAGUCAUUUCAUCAGAUGGGCUUGCGAAGAGUAAUGGAGAUGUGUCUUCUGUGUCACCAGUACCAUAUAUGUUUAAUGGUGGCUUGAGGGGUAGGAGAAGUGGUGCUUUGGAGAAGGUUGUAGAAAGGCGGCAGAAGAGAAUGAUCAAGAACAGAGAGUCAGCUGCAAGAUCGAGGGCUCGAAAGCAGAAUGGAUACUUUAUGCAGCAGAAUGCUAAUGUGAUAGCGAUCUAAUGUGUCAAGAGAUGAAUACACGUCUUGAGAAGUUUAAAGCUUCCAUUUGUUACGAGGCAUACACUAUGGAGUUGGAAGCAGAAGUUGCAAAUCUGAAGGAAGAUAACCAAGAAUUGCGGAAGAAACUGGAAGGAAUGAUGAAAAUGCAGAGGAAUCAGGUUCAGGAGAUGAUGAACCAAAAGCAUGGAAGUAAAAGACGAUGCUUGAGACGGACUCAGACAGGUCCAUGGUAAAGGGUGUUACCGGUUUGGUGGCUGAGGUUCGACGAGCAAGGGGCUGUAUAUACUGUAGAUUGAAAGUAACUCAAAUAAUGUUUUGCUUUUAGUUAGUGCUUCCGAGUACUAUACUUUUUUUGUAUUUGAGGUACAAAGAGAGAUCCUUGUGAAUUGCGGUCCAUCUUUUGAACACAGUAGAGGCAGGGAAGCUUGAGAAGGGUCAAUUAUCUAUACACUAUACUCUUUUGUAUAUUUGCUAGCUGAGAGCAUUAUGAAUCCUUUGGCCCCUUAAUAUGUUUAGAUUUUAUAUCAAUAUUUUAAAACCCAAACUGGAUAUUGAGCAGGGAAAAUAAAGGACGAUAUCUAUUAUUGUCUGGCUAGUCGGAGAGCUAGAUUCAUCUCCUAUUAUUUGUUUUUGAAUUUUUUGAAGAAAGGGAUUUUUCAAGGAUGCU